UCUCACCAGGAAUCCCUCGAGUCCAAGGUUAAUGAGACCAAGGCCACAGUCAAGUUCCAGCUGAAAAAGGUGCUUUGCAUGGGUGUUGCCGUUGGCCACCUGGGUAUGGAGGAGAAGCAGAUCUUCCAGAACGUGCAGAUGAGCGUCAACUUCCUCGUCUCUCUGUUGAAGAAGAAUUGGCAAAACGUAUGUCAUGUGCCCUCUGAAUAUUUUCAUGAACAUUUGGCUAUUGAUUGAUUGUUAUAUGUUAAAAUAGAGUACUGAUUGUUCUGUAUUGUUGCAGGUGAGAUGCUUGUACCUGAAGAGCACGAUGGGAAAGGUGUACCGGUUGUUCUAGGCUCUAGUCUUCUAGGAUUUCCAGGAGAUUGACAACUUGGAACUUUUGUUGCUUUCUCAAUUAUCAAAUUUUCGUGCGCGACGAGUGACAAUUAUUGUCUUGUACCGAGAUGGUUUGUUCUAUUGUCUGGAACUUGAUGACAUUUUAUCCGUUGUCCCUGUGCCUUCCUACUGCUCUGCCUGCUGUCAGUCAUCAGCUUAACGCUAGGUUCAGCAUUGGUCCAUUGGUAUUUACGACCGUCAGAAUCUUAUUUUACCGUGUGUCCGUUGGUGGAAUCUCGGUGUAUCCGUGCUGCCUGCUGGGAGCCUUGGAGCAUCCCAGUCGUUUCUUUGGAGUCUGCACGGACGAGUUUUGUCUUUCGUUCUCACUUCUCACCCAUUUCUCUGGAUUGUAUCGCCGUUUGCCCAUCUGGGACUGAAGUUACUGUUCAAGGUGGCAUUUACUAAUUUUAUAUUUCAGUUUCAAGCGCAGAUAACUCCGUGGCCACUAACCACAAAACGGCUAUAAAAACCACAGCCAUCCCGACUCAAAAAACACAACGUCACUAGCUACUGAUCCCAGCCAUGGCAAGCCGAGCUCUCACCCCCUUCCAGUUCGCCGCCAUCCUCCUGGUGGCGCUCUUCGGCAAGUGCAAUGCUGGCAGCAUCGCUGUGUACUGGGGCCAGAACGACGGCGAGGUGUCACUGGCUAAGACAUGCGCGUCAGGUAACUACAAGUUCGUCGUCGUUGCUUUCCUCCCCAAGUUCGGCAAGGGCCAGAAGCCGGAGCUGAACCUCGCCGGCCACUGCGACCCUUCAUCUGGCGGCUGCAAAAGCCUGAGCAAGGACAUCCACUCGUGCCAGCGCCGCGGCGUCAAGGUCCUCCUCUCCCUUGGCGGUGCGGACGGCAGCUACGGCCUCUCGUCCCGCGGCGAUGCACGACAGGUUGCCAUGUACCUCUGGAACACCUUCCUGGGCGGCACGAGCUCGUCGUCUCGUCCCCUCGGGGACGCUGUGCUCGACGGCAUCGACUUCGACAUCGAGAAAGGCGGCUCCAAGUUCUGGGGUGACCUCGCCAGGGACCUCAAGAACUUGGACAAGGGCGUGCUGCUGAGCGCGGCGCCACAGUGCCCUUUCCCCGACCAAUGGGACGACGGCGCGAUCAGGACGGGGCUGUUCGACUUCGUGUGGGUGCAGUUCUACAACAACCCGGAGUGCCAGAUCAGCGCGGGCCGUGGAGCAUUCUUGGCCGCGUGGAAGAGAUGGGAGUCAUUGCCGAUAGGGAAGCUCUUCCUGGGGCUGCCGGCUUCCAAGGACGCGGCGGGCACCGGGUUCGUGCCCGCCGGCAAGCUCAAGUCGGUACUGCCGCUCAUCAAGGGCACGCCCAAGUACGGCGGCGUCAUGCUGUGGGCCAAGUUCUAUGACGACCGCACUGGAUACAGCUCCGCCAUCAAGAGCCACGUCUGAUUCUCCCUGGUGUUUCUUCGCUUCAUUGGUACUCAUGUGUUAAGUGUUUGAGAUAACUCCGUAUUGGUAGCGACUAUGUCCCAAUAUGCAAGGAUCACGGUGUAGUUUCUUUGAAGCCAUGUCCCAAUCACAUCAAAUUUGGAACUCUACAUAUUACAUUGUAAACUACAUCGUUGAUAUUUCUAUAUAAAAUAAAAGUAUAAUUAUUGGUCAAUGAACUAUAGCUCGAGUUCAGCAUCGAUCCUAAAUUUGUUUUUUUUUUAAAUUGCAUCGAUCUUAAAUUUGAAUACCACUAACUUUUUUGAGGGAAUGCCAUCAUGGCGCACUUUAUUAAUUUGGCAAAAUAGUUACAUCAUUAACCAGAGUAUUAAUCAGGAACCCUGGGGGUUCAUCGACCCACGUACAAGAUUCAUUUCUAUCAUAAGCAAACUAACUGACAGCAUAACAUCUCAAUAUUUUAGACAGGACAACUUUGGGCCUCUCCUGCCUAGAAGCAGUUUGAUAGGUGACGUGGCAGUGGUUUCACAUAAGUGGCACAAACUAAACAUUUUCUCAAUACAUCACAACAAUGGUUAAAUAAGGAAAACCGGAUAAAGGAAUUAAAAUAAUAAUGACAUAUUCAAAUUGCAAAGAUAAUCUGUCAAUAAAAAAUUAAGUAGGGGAGAAAACAAGUUUAGGAGUAUUCACGAAAUCUUAGGAAUUAUUUGUGAGCACUCUCUAUUUUUUCUGGGUUUUCCCUCAUACUUAUGAUUUUAUUUUCUUUUUAAUUUCCUUGUUGUAUACCACAUAUGGUGUUCCUAUUUUUUUUCAUUUGUAUUAUAAUUUUACUUAUAUUUUUCUACUCCCUCCAUAUCGUAAUAAGUGAUAUUUUGGGUUUGACGACUAACUUUGAAUGUAACAUAUGUAUAAACAACAUAAAAAUAUAAGAUUUUAGAAAUAUUUUUGAGACAAAUCUAUACUAUGGUAUUUGCAACUUGGAAAAAUUAAAAUGAUACUCAUGGACAAAGUAUAUUUUUGUGACUGAAGGUAUUGCCCAAAACGUCACUUAUUUGUGAUACGGACGGAGUAAUUCUUCUUUUUUUAAUUUCAUCCAAACAUAUUCUUGACUUUACUACUACGUUUACGAAAUCACUUCAAUAUCAUCCAUUAAACCGGCUCGGGUCGGAAGAGGGCCCAAAGCUUUUUAGUUUAAAAGGUGGAGGUGUCAUGUAUUUUGGCAUUGAAGUUGCGGAACCUGUAUUUUUGGAUCAUAACCAAUGAACCAAAACAAAAUGCACGUGUCCAUCAAAUUGACUAGGUGAAAGGCAUUUUCCACUCAUGGAUUGAGAUGGAUUGCAUUAAGGAAUGCUUGACGCACAUCGUCCAUGAAAGAAGAAUGGGAAAAGAAGUCAUGAUGUCAUUGACCAUGCUUUGCUCUUGAGAAAUUUGAAACAAAUGUACCGCGAGAGUCUUCCGCAACAUCCCUACGCUCCACACCUUGUUUUACCUUGCAAUAAAAUUGAGACAAGAAAUUGGGUUUUCUCCGCCGCUACACACUUGAGGUCAUAUUUGGAGGGAGAGCAGACUUCUAUCGUUUCAUGUUGUACUAUACUCUUUCUUAUCAAAUGAAUGAAGGCUAAUUUUUGCCCCCGCUUAAUAUUCUUCUCCCACAAAACUACCGGAACCGACCUAAAAAAGGAAGGAGUCGUUCCUACCUUGCAAGUAUACAGGUCUCUAAGGCGAGGCUGGGUUGUUAGGGCUUCAAUUUAACUAACGGAAUACGUGGAAUAUGCCAUCAAAAGUUUAACUUCAGAAAAAUUCAUCCGAUGAUGAAUCAUAUAUUUUUCUAGUGAUAUAUAAACACAUUUUACUAGUCAAAUUGAGGACCUUAAACCUGUACCUGCCUUAUAAACCCUAAUUGAAGGAGUAUUUGAAAUUAAGCAAUACAUGUAGUUUUGUGAGGUUGUGGAUCUGCAUGAGUACUGAAAAUCACCAAAUUCAGUAGAAACAUUUAAUAUUCCUUUGUUUAGAAGCAUUAACCAUAGUUGAGGUAGCUUCAAGCCGCAAAUUGUUGUGCCACAAUAAACUAUCAAUACAAGUAUGAGAGCAUCUACAACGGGACCCUCAUACCCACUCCAAACAUCCAGAUGGGCUGCUCGGUUAGUCUCCUGACGGAAAAAUGCCAUCUAACCGGGCUCCCCAUAUCCGGCCUAAACGCCCGUACUGACCGGUACUCUCCAUACCUGGCCCAUACCUGGAGCAGCUAUGGGGACGCCUGGAGCGGGUGCCACGUCAGAUCGGUCGACUAGGGCCCGCGCUGCUCCCAUCAAUGCCCCCACAGAUACCCCACUAUAUCGGACAAACCCUAGUUAAACCCUAUCUUUCUCAGUCUGCACCCGUCUUCUCCGCUUCCUCCCAAAUCCACCUCUUCCACCAUGGCCAACUCCGGUCAGGACUUCAACAACGAGCCCGAUCCAUGGACUGGGACGGUCCCGUGAAGGAGGAGGAUGACAGAUCUAGCAUUGCACCAGAUGAGGAGGAGCUCGCGCUCCGCAUCGCCAUCCAGCUCUCGCGCGUGGACACCGAUGGGAGCUCGAGCUCCGUGGCACCCGACGUGAGCUCCUCCACCUUCCGCCAGCGGAAUGCGGGUCAUGGUUGUCCGUCCCGCUUCGCGUCGCUCCAGAUCUGGAGCGCGGGCAUCUCCCCUUCCCCUCCGGCGCCAACAUCACCGGACAGCGGUGGGAGCUCGUGCCUGUGGCUCCCGUGCGGAUGCCCAUGCCAGAGUCGAAGGCGAAGGCGGCCCGGCAGCGGGCGGUGGCCGCAGUAGAGUCCGACUCUUCCCGCCAGCGAGCGCGCUCCGUGAGGUCAUACGACGGUCGCUAACCGCAGCAGAGUCUGACACACGGCGCCUCCGACGCAAGAAUGCAGAGGCGCUCCACCUCGGGCUCGAGGCAUCCGAGCGCCUUGCGCGGGAGAAUGAGACCGCUGCCGCCAAGGCCGUGCACCACGUGAAGGAGCAGCAGCGCCUCCUCCGCCUUCUCUCUGGCUACAUUUCGUCUGCAUCGGAGAGCAGCACCACCACAGACGACGACGACUCUCCCGCCUUCGAUGCGUACAGGGAGGAGAUGGACCGCCGCGCGGCUGACCGCAAGGGCAAGGGCCCGACCAAGCGGUGAACUCUGGCCGACUCCGCCUCUGCAUUUUAUCCAGUUAUAUUUUCUUUGUAUUAUAAGUCCAACGAACUAUGUCUUUUCGGGUCAGAUGCAAUAUGUCCUAUUACCCAUGUGGAGAAAUUUAUCGUUCCAUGUUGAUCUACAUUAAUUUUGUUUAUGUGCGGGCAAAUGACUACUACAGUUGUGGAUAGAGAAAAAUGGACACUGCCCGGUCACUGUCAACGGACAUGUCCGAACACGUCCAUGGGUGUUUGGGGGACUGUUUUUGCGAGUUGUGAUUGUAGAUGCUCUAAGACUGCAUAUGUGCUCUGCCUGGUACUCUGGAGUAGAAAACAGAGGAGAGGGCUCAGCUUUUAUUGCACGUCUUGUUGAUGUUUUGGUCCAGCACGGUAGGGCGUUUGUGAUCUGAACGCACUCUGAUUUAUCAACCAUUGAUCAGUACGAGUAAAUUACGAGAAGAGAUUACCGACCGCAAACGGAACACAAAACAUUGCCGGUAAAUUGGUACUCUGCAAAGCCCAAUUUAGACGCAGGAGCGGACAAGCGACUGCAGGAAAGUCACUAAAAAAGCCUCCAUGACGCUCCAUCAAGACACUAAAAAUCCAAACAUACCCGACAUCCAUCAUCAGAACUAAAAAUACAAAGUGCACCUCCUCACCAGUCUCUAGUCUCUACUCCUUCCUGUACGAGCUAGCUAGCCAGGUACGCUCCACUUGACCCCAGCCAUGGCAAGCCGAGCUCUCACUCUCCUCCAGCUUACCGCCACCCUCCUUGUGGCGCUACUCGCGACUUGCCAUGCCGGCAGCAUUGCCGUCUAUUGGGGCCAGAACGACGGUGAGGCGUCGCUGGCCGAGACAUGCGCGUCCGGAAAUUAUGAGUUUGUCAUCCUGGCUUUCCUCCCCAAGUUCGGUAAGGGCCAGACGCCGCAGCUGGACCUCGGCAGCCACUGCGACGCCUCGUCGGGCGGCUGCAAAAGCCAGAGCAAGGACAUCCACUCAUGCCAGCGCGGCGGUGUCAAGGUCCUCCUCUCUAUCGGCGGCGGAGACGGCAGCUACGGCCUCUCAUCACCCGGUGAUGCACGGCAGGUUGCCAUGUACCUCUGGAACAACUACCUGGGCGGCACGUCAUCGUUCCGUCCUCUCGGCGACGCCGUACUCGACGGCAUCGACUUCGACAUCGAGCUUGGUGGUGCCAAGUUCUGGAACGAUCUCGCUACGGACCUGAAGAACUUAGGAAAGAAGGGAGACAAAACCGUCCUGCUGAGCGCGGCACCGCAAUGCCCGUUCCCGGACGAGUGGGACGGCAAUGCAAUCAACACGGGGCUCUUCGACUUCGUAUGGGUGCAGUUCUACAACAACCCGGAGUGUCAGUUCAGCGCGGGGCGUGGAGCGUUCAUGGAAGCAUGGAAAAGAUGGGAGUCGGUGCCGGCAGGGAAGAUCUUCCUGGGACUGCCGGCCUCCAAGGACGCCGCAGGCACCGGGUUCGUGCCUGCCGGCGAGCUCACAUCGCGCGUGCUUCCGCUCAUCAAGGGCUCGCCCAAGUAUGGCGGCGUCAUGCUGUGGUCAAAGUUCUACGACGAUCGCACUGGAUACAGCUCUGCCAUCAAGAGCCAUGUGUGAUUCCCCUUAGUGUGCUUGGCCUAGUAUUUAUGUGUCGCUUGUCCUGUUUCAUUGUAUCAUGCGUUAAUUGUUUGAGAUGACAUCAUAUUGAUAGCUAGCAUACCGGUGUACAUGAGGAGAUAUGCAUCCAUUGUAAAUAUUUAUGAAGAAUUUAUAUUUCUUUCUAAGCUAAGUCCCAUAAUACAAUUGAGCACCAUGACAUACUUUUCUAGUAUAUCUGUAUGUUACUUUUAUGAUCACCCAGUUAUAAUCUUACAUUUGGCAACCUCAAUGUAUAACAUCCGGUAUGCAGGUUCACCAUAUUCUCAUGGUCUAAAGAUGCGAAUAAACGUUAACACAUCCUAUAUAUAGAUCUAAGUAGUUAAUCUCCACUCCUAAAUUGUCUCAAGAUGCACACAUACUACAUCACUACUCACGCCACCUCAUCAAAGGCCCACCUCACAUGCAUCACUACUCAUGCCACCUCAUCAAAGGCUCACCUCAACAUGCAUGGUGUUUUUUCAUUAAUAGUCGAUCAUCACUUCUCUAUUUAUCUCAACAUGCACAUAUCCUACCUCAUCAAAGACUCACCACAACAUGCAUUGAAAAACAUUUUUCCAUUAUAUUAUGCUACUUAUAUUCAUAUUUUUUUCCUUAAUCAACUGAAAUAUAUCACUCAGUCAAGAAUUACUUGUCUCGGAAAUGGAUGUAUCUAGACGUAUUUUUCGUUCUAGAUACACCCAUUUCUUUCUAUUUUUGCGACAAGUAAUUUGGGACGGAGUGAGUAUACAAUAUGUAUUAAUAAUUUUAGUUUGUAUAUUAUCAAUCCAAAUAUUGAUGUUUCAUAAAUCAAAUUCUAUUGAAAUAUUGCAGUGACUUCCGCAGCAACGCACGGGGUGUCAUCUAGUUAUAUGAAAAUACCAACAAUAAUAUAGAUAAUGUGAUCUCGCAGUAUAUCAUAAGUUGGGUCUAUCCAACACCAUUGUUCUGCUAACAAUGUCGGCAUCCUUGUCACAUUGAGAAUGCCCAUGAUCCAGAAAACAGGAUCAUCAACAAUACUUCAGCUAGUAUUAGAGGCUACACUAGGGAUCUAUUUGAUGUUUAUUUUUCAUCCAUGCAACUGAGUUUUCCACUGAAUCUCACAUUAAAGAAUUAUUGUGAUUAUAGCAUAGAAAUAUAAACUUAAUUAUGAACAUAAAUAAUAAAAAAUAACCUUUGCUAAUGCCUCUAGGUCAUAUUUCCAAUGGUGUGCGAUUAAAAAAAUAGGUUUGACUCGAUGUUUUGAGGCUGGUGGCUAGCUGGGCCGUAGGGGGCUGUUGCUUUGUGGUCCACAUGGGAUCGGAUCACGCUCUCGCUUCUCUCUCCUAACUUGCUUACAACACACAUUCUCUAUCCCAUUCCUUUUGUAAAAAAAAGUCAAUGCAACAACACACUCCCCCCUCCUCCUCCUCCUCCUCCUCUCUCUCUCUCUCUCUCUCCUCUCUUAACUUUUGGAUCCAACAUACACUCAUUUUGAGCCAUGGGACGGUGAACAAGAAACAAUCGUGUCAGAGAAAGGGAAUCGUCCACCCGGUCAACAACAACCUAUGGACAUGCAAAAUACUGUCCGCAUAGCACUGCAAGACUCUUGCAGGUUCGACCCACAUCCUUUCAUAUCAGCCCGACCACAUGCACAAUGUCUACAUCACGAGUGAACAACAACCUGUGGCGAAUGGCGUGGAUAGAGGGUGUACCCACAUCCAAGAGUAGAAAGUCCACUUUUUGCAAAAUAGGGAAAUGUGUGACUACUCCUGGGCUUACCCACACCACUUAUCCUAGCCAUUGUUGAACACUGAGAUGUGUGCGUAGUUAUGAGCCAUGCGAGUGUGUUUGUAGGUUGUGGGUGUUUCAAAACAUGGGUUUGACUCGAUGUUUUUAGCCGAGUGGCUAGCUAGGUUAUAGGGAGGUUGUUGCUUUGUGGCCAAAAUGAGGCCGGACCAGGCUCUCUCUUCUCUCUCCUAACUUGCUUGCAUCACACAUUCUCUCUCAUGCUCUUUGUCUGAAAAUGUCAAUUGAACAACAUGCAUACACUCUCGUUUUGAGCAACAUGCGGAUAAAGAAGAAACAAUCAUGUCAGAGAAGAGGAAUCUCCACUCGGUGAACAACACCUACGCACACGCAAAAUAUUGUUCGCAUAGCACCGCAAACCCCGACCAUUUUUUCGAUAAAUGGUGGUUUUUAUUCACUCAAAUGGAGCAUCAAGAAGACACAAACAUAACGAGCACACACCCGGCCUCUGCAUAGUUAGGAUGCACACAACCAAUACCAGUGAACGCACAUACACAAAAACACCCACAAAUAGCAAAGUCAUAUAAGAGCGAAGCUAUGCGUUGGCGAGAAAAAAAAUACCCCUGCGAUCAGAUCGCGAUUGACAAACUACAACAAUGACCAUAUCCGCACCAACCAACUCAUGACAUUACACGGACAACGAAGUUCUUCAGCAGCAACACCUUCAGAAAGGGAGUGACGCUCAACGUCAUCUUCACUGGAUCCAACCACUCAAGGCCAGAUUCUAGGUUUUCACCUUGAAGAAUCAGUCUAAGCAUGUCCGAAUAAUGCCUUCAACAAGGUAACGAUGGAAAAACAUCGCCAUUGCCAGGUCAGACCUAGGUUUUCACCCCGGAACUUAAGACCAGGUGCUCGAGAAGCACCACCAUCGAAGUCAAUCAUGUGUCGUCGCCACCGUUUUUUCGCCACCCCAACAGCUACCCGCGAUGUACCGCUACUGUUGCACAACCAUCCCUCUACGUUAAUUUAUUGUCUAUAACUUGCAUCUCCUCGCCAAAGUCAAGCACCGAAUCUGAAGAUCGGUGGCCACCGUAAUCCGCAGCAAGGUUGCCGUCGCAGGUCAGAGUAAUAAGGACCAACCCGACAACGAAGCACACCACCGCAGACUACCACUUUGCCAAAGAGAGCUCGCUGCACGGGCCCAUCGGCCUAAGGCUGACAUUGCCGGAGCUAGAGCACAAAAGGCAGAUCAUCAUCACCGACGCGCGCCUGCGGAGCCCGGUCGUUGCUAGAUCAGGAGCACAUAGCCGCCUGCAAGCGAACAAGGUUGUCUCAGCAUACUAAUCCCUUGGAUCUGGAAGCUGAGCAACUGAUCCAGCCGCCAGUGCUCCUUGCGCCGUGACGCCCACACAGCCGAUCUGCUAUGCAGGCCGCACCAGCCAACCACCUCGUCCGCCACCAAAGGAAAUGGAGGGAACAUCAAACCAUGUCGAACGGUGUAGGUAGGCUGUUGCUUUGUGGGACAGAGCCAUGAUUCACACAUAGAGGGGACAAGUUUGCUAAUGGAGGAGGCAAAGUUCUUAUGGACUGAUUUUUUUAACAACAACCAGUACUAAGGAAGAAAAACAAUUCAUUAGGGGGGGAGGGUCUAGCUCCCCUCGCCCCCUAAAUUUGUCCCUAUUUGUGGCCACAUGGGCCCGGACCAUGAUCUUUUCUCUCUCUCCUAACUUGUUUGCAAAACACACUCUUUCUCCCAUUCAUUAUGUAAAAAAACCAUUGCAACAACACACACUCUCUCUCUCCUACUGGGGGGGUUUGGGCUGAACAAGAAACAAUCANNNNNNNNNNNNNNNNNNNNNNNNNNNNNNNNNNNNNNNNNNNNNNNNNNNNNNNNNNNNNNNNNNNNNNNNNNNNNNNNNNNNNNNNNNNNNNNNNNNNNNNNNNNNNNNNNNNNNNNNNNNNNNNNNNNNNNNNNNNNNNNNNNNNNNNNNNNNNNNNNNNNNNNNNNNNNNNNNNNNNNNNNNNNNNNNNNNNNNNNNNNNNNNNNNNNNNNNNNNNNNNNNNNNNNNNNNNNNNNNNNNNNNNNNNNNNNNNNNNNNNNNNNNNNNNNNNNNNNNNNNNNCACACGUAAAAUAGAGCUCUGCUUCGGUACACCCCCCCCGCUCAACGUAUAAGGGCAUUUUGGGCAUACGGUGCUUAACGUAUCCCGCGCCGUAUACGGCGUGCCCAUACAGGAAGAGCCGAGCGCACGGCUCGAGCCGAUACGGCCGACUCGCAUCUACCCCCUCCCGUCGCGCGAAAAAAAGACCCACGACCUAGCGUUGAUCACGCGGCCCAUUCCCACGUCGCCCCGCCCCGCCCCGCCGAUCGCCGCCCUUGCCCGCCGAUCGCCGCCUUUCCCCGGCGAUCUAGCCACGAUCACGCUGCCAAUUCCAACGUCUCCCCGUCCAGCCGAUCGCCGACCAUUGUCCCCAUCUUCACCCGGGAUCUGGCCGCCGUGGACGUUGUUGGAGUCGCCGCCGUACGCGAUCUGGCCUCCGUGCAGGUCAUCGCGGUGACGUGGCCUACGCGGACGCUGUCGCCGUCCGCAACAGCGUGAUCAACCUCUCCGGGAACGUCCUCGCCGUCCGCAGCCAGGCCAGCCAGGCCGAAGUGCACGUACCUGAACGCCAGCGUCUAGGUUUGCCAUCUAAGCCGUCUAGUUUGUCAAAAAAAAUUGUAGCUGCAAAUAAUUAUCUGCACUCACUUGUUUGUUAUGAACUAUUCAUCGGUAUGACUGUAGUACAUUUAAUUUGAUUUUAAAUUGAUAGAUCAAUUUUUAUUUUAAAUGUUGUAGUAUUGGUAGUGAGGUCAUUCAGUGGAUAAAGAAACUAGAUUUACGGACGCGUUCUUGGAGUGAGUGGUAUGGUAGCGACAGUGUUGAUCGUACGAAUGGUAAUGAAAGUAAAAAUGUUGAUGAUAGCAGCGACAAUGAAUCCUGGUCGUCGUACGAUAAUUUACCUGAGGAGGAUUUUCAAAAGAAGGAAGAGGGUGCUUGUAGUGAAAACUUAAGUGACGUGUACAUUCAUUUCGUCGGACGAAGAACCAUAUGGGUACUUACAUGUGCAUAUGAUUUUUUUAUGUGCAGGAGGAUAUUGACGUCCAGAACGAGGAAAAUCAAGGUGUUGAAUCUUUCGCGGAUAACAUAAGUCUGGUUCGGUCCAAACUUUUAGAUGUCAUACAAUAAUAAAAACUUGUUAAUGACAACUUACACUUGCUUAUGUGUAAUAUUGUAGGCUAACUUCGAUGGUUGGAAUGGUGAUGAUGGCUAUGAGCAUGAGGAUGCAACUAAUAUGGACAUUGAGGAGGCUGAAAUCCAGCAACGUGCGCUGGAGACACAGUUGAAGGUUAUGGGUAUGACCUUUGCAUCACAAUGGGAGGCUUACACGUUCUACAAUAACUACGCCAAAGACUGUGGAUUCAGUAUCAGAAAAGAUAAGGUGAAACGAGGAAAAGGUCUUUCAACCACUAUUCGGUAUAGGCGGUACAUUUGCUCGAGGGCAGGAAAACGACUGAGUAAAUUUUUAAACCCGGAGGGCCGUACCCGCAGGCUAAGACCUGAGACUCGUUGCGAGUGUGGCGCAUAUUUAGUUGUGAAGUUGGACAAAGGACGUGGAGUUUGGUUCGUGGCAGCUUUUAUGGAUGAUCACAACCAUUUGUUGGCUAGAGCAGAUGAGGUGGUAUUUCUAUGGUCACAUAGAGUGAUGGGAAAUCACCAGAUAGCUGAGAUCUUGGCGAUGGAAGGAGCUGGGAUCAGAAAGCAUAUCAUCGUCGACAACUUCAUUAGCAGGUAUGGUUCGUAUGAUAAGUGUGGGUUUCUGAGACGAGACGUCUACAACCUAUGCUGCCGUGAAAAAAUGAAGUUGAUUUCGAAGGGUGAUGCUAACAUGGCAAUUGGGAUUAUGAGGAGCAGAAAGGAUAAGGAUCCAGACUUCUUCUUUGAGUACGUGCUCGAUAAGGAGGGCUGUUUAAAGAGCAUGUUGUGGUGCGAUGCACAGUCGCGGCGGGACUAUCAGUUGUAUGGAGAUGUGACUAUGUUUGACAGCACGUAUAAGAUGAACAGAUACGGUAUGCCGUUCAUCCCCUUUGUUGGUGUAAAUAAUCACCGUUGCACCACAGUGUUUGGUUGUGCCAUUGUGUCCGACGAGACCGAAGCGACGUACGUGUGGCUGCUCCAGACAUUCCUGAAGGCCAAUUGUCAGAAGAAGCCAAGGUCAAUCAUCACAGAUGGAGACGCUGCAAUGAUACGAGCUAUUCGGUUGGUUUUGGUUGAUGUGUUGCACCGUCUCUGCUCAUGGCACGUGGGAAAAAAUAUGCAGAAGCACCUUAAUUACAAUCACUAAAUGAGUUCAGGGCACUCUUGUACUACUCCACCUUUCCGGCCAACUUUGAGGCGAGAUGGCACGCUUUUGUCCUUCAAUGAAAGACUGAUAAAACAGAAGAGUGGCUGCGUAGGAUAUACAGGAAGAGGAGUCUGUGGGCAACAUCAUAUCUGUCAGAUGGUUUUUUUCUGGGUAUGCGCAGUAAUCAGAGAAGUGAAAGCCUUAACUCUUGUCUUCACCUUCACCUGGACGACGGUAUGACUAUUGUUGAUCUAGUUGUGCAUUAUGAGAAUUGCAUAGUUCAACUACGUCAGAACGAGGCGCAUGAUGACUGUGUUUCUAAUCAGUCAUUGCCACCAUCAGUCACAGAAUAUAAGGACAUUGAGAAGCAUGCUGCCAAAGUAUUCACUCAUUCCAAUUUUUAUAUUUUUCAACAAGAUCUGAAGAACAUGGGAGAGCUUGAGAUUUUUGAGAUGCUAGUUGGAGUUGACUGUCACACCUUCAUCGUGACAUGGAGAAAUAACUGCAAAUUUCAGUUCAGCGUGAAUUAUGGAGCUGAAAACUCUGGCAAUACUAUAGACUGUAGUUGUGGACGAAUGCUUCGGAAAGGGUUGCCUUGCAAACACAUUCUAUAUGUGUUGGUUCAUCUGAAAAUAUCUGAAAUACCUAAGUGUUGCAUCCUUAAGAGGAUGUCGAAAGUUGCGAGAGGUGGGCUGCCUGCACAGCGGAAGAGUGACAUGUUUGGCUGGGGUGGACAGGGGCAGAGCAGCGUGCUCGCUAUAGUCAACUCAGUAUAACAGGAGCAGAAGCUUUCCAUGUUGCAUCAAAUGAUCCAUUCGUCUUUGAUGAGAUGAUGCAGUGUCUACAUAAUAUAAUAGCUAAGAAAAAGGUCCCUGAUGAUGAUGCUGUUGGUAGUAGAAGGAAUGUGCAUGAGGAGCCACGUGAGCCGGAACAACAUGUUGAUGUCAUAGGUGAUCCCGUAAAAGUUUCCACGAAGGGCACCCCUAAACAGAGCAAGACAGGGCGGGCAAAGAAAGAUCCAAAUGUUACAAAAAAUGGAAGACCAAAAUCAUUUUCUGAAAGAAAACCCGGUCCUCUUUGUGGCAUAUGUCGCGAAGAGGGCCAUAGACGGCAAACGUGCCCCCAGAAUGAAAAGUAAGUUUUACAUUUUUAAUUAUUUUUUGUUUCACUCUUUACAAUUGUCUGAUGAGUUGUUUACAAUUUGUUAUGUAGGAACCGGUUAUGAAGAUGAAGUAGAGCUCUAAAUCAAUGGAAGGCAUUGGGACAGAGUUCAAGUAGCAUGUCGUUGUUGCUACACGUACUAUAUUUGCAGACAAUUUUUUUAUGUUUUAUUAUCGCUUUUGUGUGAGACUAAACAUUUAAAUGCGUGUCCAACUAUCAUUGGUACUGUUUUGUGAGACGGAAUGUUAUAAGUGUGGGCAACUAAGUGUGGGCAACUAGUGUUAUUUACGUCUGUGAUGUUAUACGUACUGUUGUUGUUUGUAUUCACGGCGGUCAUUUUUUCUAAUAAAAAAUACCCCCGCUGUCCUGAGUUGGCGCCACCAAGGCACAGUGGCGCGAUGUGGACAAAACGUGCACAUGAUCCCAGAACAAUUUUGGUGGCAGCAGCGGCGCUGGAUCCGAUGAUGAUCCACCUGGCAGCAUGAUUGGCGCACCAUCCCACGAAUAUUCCAGCCCAGCCCGUGCGGUGGCCGACAGCCGAGGCAGUGGCGGGCCCGCGCAGUCCAGCUAGUGCGGUCCGGCAUGAUUCGCCGUGCGCGACGCGCGUGUCUGGUGGCCCAGGCGCCGACCGAGCGACAGCCGCGGGCCCGGUCGCAGACGUCUCGUCCCGCCCGACCGAGCGGACAUGGUAUUCCGAUGGUUAAAGAUUCAAGUCUUAGUGGCAAAGGGGGACAUCUUUGGCCUGCAACCGUUUCCACUUUACGGCCCACAGCUUGUGUUCUUCGGUAUUAAUUCGGUUUCUGUUUGUUUGGCUUGUCUCGUGCACCACCUGAAUUGAAUCAUAGUAAUGGGACUUUGGUAAUCCAGUGAUGAAGUCAAUGCUGAUAAUGGAAACACCUCAUGGAUAGUGACCACCCCAUCUAAAAUAUUUCCGUUUUUCAUAAAUGCAGUCUGACUCUUACUCACCACCUUAUCUGCAACUCUCUCAAGCCUAUUUGUCAGUACUUUAGUCACAAUUUUCUAACAAACAUAAUAUAAACAUAUUGGCCGAUAUUGCUUGAUAGUUGCAGCUACCUCCCUACGGCGAUUCAUAACUAGAAGAACUCGUUGGCACAACCGGACCUUAUUAAAGGCCUCGGCCGUCUGAUCAACUGAAAGAUCUUAUCUUGGAGUUCUAGUAUGGGUCGUCGGCCCUUUCUCCUCCAGAAGAGGGCGGCUCCCUGGAUUGAACACAUAAAGUAGUGCCAAGAUCUCCUCUAUGCGAGAGAGAAGUUCUCAGAAAUGAUGACCCAUCAACCUACUAGCAAUAGGGGAGAAAACUUAGCAUGUCGCAACAAAAGCGUCGAUUCGAGGCGCCAGCAAAACACCGCCGUCUGUUCCUAAAACAAAACCCCUUAGCGCCCCGGGACGGGAGUGGGGGACGGCCCUACGCAGACAGCAGCAGCACCGGCUCUACGAAGUCCGAAUCGAAUCUUUUGGUUGGCUUUCCCGUGAAUAAGAAUUGUUGGGCGCGGCGAAGCGAGCGCUUCUAGCUGUUUCGCUUGCUUCUUUCUUAUUGUGGCGGGCAAAUUUCCAAUAAAAUAUAAUAUCUGGGAUUACCAAUCAGCAAAGACAAGAUCUCUUCUAAGUACAAGCUAUGGCGGAGCCGUUUACCAAUGCACCCAGUUCUCCUCAUAUUUGAUUCUUUUUUUGGUAUCAUUGGUUCCACAUACGUCUUUUGGGCGAGCUUUCUUCACUGUCAUCAAAACCAACGCUCAAACCGAAGCUUUCCGAGCAGUUGUUUAUUUCUCACUUGCUUUAAUGCGAGGGCAGGGUAUCUACUCGCUUUCUUGCCUUAUCACGAGCUAUUGAGAACGGAUCUAAGGGCAUCCCUACCUACAAUCCUUCCUUGGUGCCCCAUUCCUAUCUUCUUUUCCAGAUCCUUUUUUUACAUUGAGCAGGGCCUUUAUCUCCCUAGCUAAGGUUGGUACAAUCCCUCUAUAAGUAUUUGUUAGUGGGCCAAACUACCCAUAAAAAAGAAGAGAGAGAGCUGUAAGAGCGGUAAAAGCAAGCUCGGUGGCCCGGUUUCACUACAGGUUGAUAUAUCCUUUUGAAAGAAAAGUCUGGUUGUGAGACAUCUUCCUCUUAGUGCUACAAAUGGCUUCUUCCUUAGUUCUUUAUAGCUCUUUCACCUCUUUUAGACUCUCUCCAAUGUUUAGUGCGGGGAACUCUACACUAUUGUACUUAGAUGCUAUUCCUUCAAGAAAGUAUCGGAAAGCAAAAAGGGACUCGUUCAGGCUUUGGUAUAAACAUAAAUCCCAUAAUAGAGGGAUCGAUCAUCACAUUCUGCUUUGUUAAGAAAGAAGGAUAACCUAGAUGGAUAAAGGUGGAAUGGACUACGUGCAAUCCCAUCCAUGGAAAUAUUUUAUUUACUGUAUAAAUAUGUAUGAUGUGCUGCUAGGAAAUCCACCAUCGCUUGCCACCAACCCAUACUAUUCCUCUAUAUCGAAUGACCCCAUUAUGCAAUGAAUAUUUGCUAUUCUUGUGAGGCUUUUUCAACCUAUAAGCAGACCUUUGUAUACACCCUUGUAACUGAACUAGCUAUUCACAAAGAAAGGUCUAUGGCACUGCACCGGCGAGGGAAAGGGAAGCUGAUGAGAGGUAAGGGAAAAGUCCAUUUAAUGAAUAGGUUCACUACAGACUGUACUAUCUCUAGACCCCCUCUCUAUACUCCCUCAUAAUAUAUGGAUCCCCCGCAAUUGGGAUUUAGAGUCCCAUGCGUGAAACUAAAGAGGAUUUUCAGUCCUCUGCUCUACCAGCCAGAACCUAGAAGGACACUUCACACCCGAUUUGACACAGCUAGACUGGAAACACUGCUUGUCAAGAGCACAGACCCCAGUAUAGAAUACUUUUUUGAGUAUGUUGGUAAGGUCCGCUAAUUGAACCGUCCGUCUUCAUCUUAAUCCAUUCGUUUCCCCGUGGUCAACACACAAUAGAAUAUGUUUGUUUUUGAUCGGAUUGAGACAAAAGUACCAUUUUUAGGAUGUUCGCCGAUUCUUCCUCUUCUUUCUCUCAUAAAACUGGAGAUAAGGUUGAGUAGAGAAAGGUGGGUCAUUGUCCCAACGUAGUAGUAUUUUUGUUUUGUUUUCAGCUGAUCUAUAUCAAAAUAAUAGAAUAAAUAAAGGCAAAGGAUUUGGUUCAGUCGUCAAGUACAGAUUUCCUUUACCCAGAGUUGGGAAAAAGGUAGCUUUAGCCAUUGUGGGUAGAAGCUAGUCGCCAGAAGCGAAGCAGCGAUCUUCCGGGCCGGAAAGGUUCUAUUUUUCUGACGCGUAAGCUACCGCAAAAUUGCCCUUCUGACUUCUUCUCUUGUCUGUCCUUUACGCAAAGCGAUCUAUGGUCUCAACAAGCCCCGAUAGCGUCGGUUUUUGAAGUUCAGGAUGCCACUUGGCUUUCGCGGGCUGGUGCAACGAUCCCGAGGGGGAUUUCUGGCGAUCUGUUUCCCUCGGAUCAUCGGCCCAUUAACGACGCGCGUCGGGCGCGUGGGCCGGCCCUUUAAGGUCGCUUCGUGUGAGGCUAGGGACGCUGGCGCAUUGCGGCGACUAGGUUUAGUCCCACCUCUCCCGUCGAGAGACGCCACGACCGGUUUAUAUACCCACGUCGUCGCCGUUCUCACAAGCUCACUACAAACCACUACAAUGAAUGCCCUGUUGUACGCCGUGGCCAUGCCACUCGGCGGCCGAAAGGCCGUCCCGAAGGCGUUCUAGUAAAGUCUCCAUGUGCGCGCCCGACCACUCCUGGGCCUUUUUUUAAAUAUGUUUUUUUUUCACAUAGAUUAUUAUUUUUAUAUCUUUAACAGUCGAGAAAAGUCAUGACAGCAGUAACACAUUCAUACAAAUAUAUCAUAUUUCACACAUAACAAUUAAAAUGUCAUGUCUCAUAACCCUUAACAAAGUAGCAUAACGAAUAAACUGGAAGUGCCAUGUCUCAUAUCCUUUAACAAAGUAGCAUAACAAAUAAACUGAAAGUGCCAUGUCGCAUUACAAUCGAACAAAGUGAUAAGUACCCAACAACGGCAGGGAAACCUUCUACGGGACUAAAACCCUACCCAUGCUAAUACCUAUUCCUUCUCCAUGAUUUUAACAAUUUUCAUCUUGACCUUCUCUAAUGUGUUCACCUCCGAAAAAAUAAUUUCCGCGACAAUACGUGGCCUUGAUGCAUUAAUCUCUUCCUGGUCAAAUUCAUAUGUCCAUCGAUCUUCGUCCCAGUGUUCUAUGCACCACAUCACAAAAGGUCCACAAGACACUCUGCAAUAAACACGUGGGAUCAGCUUAGGACGUAGCAUGCACUUGCUUGUACUAGUUGUAUGCAGUAUGAACUUACCCAUCUUUUUGUCUCAACAUUUCGUACUCAUUUAUUGGCCACGAUGAGACAUCUGGAUAUUUUUUUGCUUCAAGAGUUGAGUUGGCCUCCAUAAUAUCCUUAGAAAUUUCAGCUCUCUGAAACAAAUUAACGAAACCAGAAUAUAUAUUUGUUCCAAUAUAAACCAGAAUAAUGUAUGUCGCAAUAUAAACCAGAAUAAUGCAUGACCCAAUUUUUUUAAUGUGAGUGCGAAAAUUAUAGCGUACCAGUAUGGCAAUCAUAUUGCGAAUUUUUUGGCUAAUUGCACCAUUAGAAUUUGAGUCAAGAACUUGAAACUCCUCCUUGACGGUGUGCAUCACUAUGGUUAUCCAAUGAUUCUCGUUAACGUGCAUAGGAAAAUACGCCUACAUAACAACCAAAUGAUGUUAGUGCAAUUAAAAACUAUUGACUAAGAAAAACUAAUAAAUAUGAAAGCAAUACCUUGUCCCGUGCGAAAUACUCAUCCAUUACUCUCGUGAGGACUUUAUUUUCUUUGUAAGCUUCUCUGAGUUUAUAUUAUUUACUGACUUGGUCUUUCCCCUUGCCCUAUUCAACAUAAAUUUGGGGAACCACGUUGUUGAUAUGUGACGAUCAGCAAAACCACGGUGUUGUAGGUGCUUACAAUAUGCAUUGAUGAUCUGCAUACAUUAGUAUAAAAUUUCUAUCAACUUCUAAAGUACAAAUGAGGGUUCUAUUAAAAACAAAUCAUACUUACAUCGCCAUUCAACCAUUUAAACAUGAGGACAUCAUGAAGCAUAGCUGGCGUGCAUAUGUCCCCAUCUGGUGGUGGCACAUUAACCACGGUUCAGUGCACAUGCUUCUUUGACGAUGCAAGAGUCUCAACAAAAACUGUGGCUGCCUCUAUGUGAUCCGGAGUCAUAUUAAGAGAACUUGCCAGAAUUGAAUGCGGUGACGAUGCAAACAGAUCUAAAGCAAUGCAGUUACGGUCAGUUAAAUAAUAAAAGAAAUUACAUAAGGCAUGAAUGAAUAAUAAAGUAGUAUUUGACUUACUUUUUUAACACGUUUCUUGCGGGUAAUGAGAAGGUCGUAGGGGGAUUGACAAUAUUUCGACGCAUUUCGUUUGCGUUUACCUUCAUUGUCCCGACUGCCAUAACCAUUAGCUAUAUUGCUCUUUGCCGGGAAACUCUCGAACGUUCCUUCGGACUUUGUUGGUGACAAACCACCCAUAGACUCACCAGAAAUAUCAGCAUUCUGCGGGGUUCGGGACAUAGACGGAAAGUCUUUUGUCCAUACAGUUGAUGCCGAAGAUGGAGAGUUUCCAUUAUCGUCUAUAAUGAAAGGAUCAGUAGCUUCACCUUUACCCGGUGUCGUCGCCAGAGCACCGUGUCAUCAACGGGCACGGAGGUAUCAUUCAUACCCAUGAAAGAUGUUCCUAUCUUUACGUCGGUAGGUGAUUCAACAUCUGACCAAUAUUUUGACUUGUACUUGCCAUUCUGCAUCCCAACUCCUUCACCUACAUCAUCAAAUUCGUCAAUGUUGUCCCUCUUAUUGGGUUUGUACAUCACACCUUCCGUGUUCAACCUUUCCAUUACCAUCUACAAACACAAAUGAAACACGAUAAGUAGUUGAAUAAUUAAAGCACAUUCAAUACAACUUCUAAAUUACCUGUGCACAUCUUUCGGGAAUAUUGAGAACCUCCUUGUGAAGCAGCUUUAUGUAUGUCAUCACACGGUCCAUACUAUAAUUCAUGUUCGAUGAAACUGCCGACGUGCUUGGCUUUCUACUCCCGCCACCACCUUUCCGUUUAGUUUUGUUCGUUUCUUCCUCUGGGACAGUCCCUUCACGUGCAACCUUAGCACGUCUGUACUCUUCGCUAAUGCAGUUUUCAAUCUGUACAACAAACAAUAAAAUGAAUUAAAUAACGAAUAUACUUAAUUACUAUGUGGAACAAAUAAGGACUAUACUUAUUGACUUACAUUGCCAGUACCCCGCCCGUGUAUGUUGUCAUAGUCGUCUCGCUUUUUCUCUUCCGUUUCUGGCCAGUUAAGCAUUAGUGGGUAUUCACGAGACAAAGGAUCAAAUGCAUCCAGACCAAUUGGCUCAAGUUUUUCCCAGUAUAUAUACUGCAUGAUAGUAAACACAAUUAGUCAGACACAUAUAUCACAUAAAAAAUAUAUGUACAUACAACUAUUACGAAAUGACUUGUAACUGAAGAGCUAAGUUCCCGAUAGGCCAAUGGAAUUUUUCAAGAUCUUCGACCGUUUUUUUAAUAGCAUCCAUGCACACCCCCAACGUGAAAUCGUUCCAAUUGUAUGACUUGAUAGCGUUGACGUCCUCCACCAUUUUGUAAUAAUGAUAAGGAAAAAACUUGGUGGAUUGUGGUGCUAAGACUGUACCCAUAUGAACCAGUACGACCCUUCUCACAAAAUCAUCAUCAUAUGACUGACUAUCAACAAUAUUUUUUAUCAAGUCAUCGAUGAGGAUUAGGCCUGUUCUUUUGUCUAGAAACCGAUUCGGAACAAUUUUUUUGGCAUCUAGUUGUACUGUUGCUAUCAUGCUAAUCACAUCAUCACCCUUGUUACGUAGCCCGAAUAUGUCAUAAACAUCUUCAUUAAGCAUAGUGAUGCCGUCAGUAUUUGGCCGAAUAAUAAAUCGCUUUCUACUAGUAUCAUACGAUUGUAAUCAUAAAUUCCAAUACAUUUUUUCUCAUUUUCACCGAAGGAAUUCUCAACAUACUGUCCAAAUUUGUGCCACGUAGCCUCAUGCGCUGUCUGGGUGUGAAUUUUCCCACCAAUUCGCACUACUUCUCAACCGAGCAGUACACAUCUCCGUAUUCUUGCAUUCUAAAUAACUCAACCGAGCAGUACACAUCUCCGUAUUCUUGCAUUCUAAAUAAGAUGAACGUUAUUUGACUAGUUACGAGAUUUAGAAAACAUUACACGUGGUUUAAUACCAUAUCUUCCGGCGACGCGAGGUGCACCGGCAGCCCCCGUUGGCUAUCCCCACCCGGUGUGGGUUAGUCGUGGCAGCCGCGUGCCCUCUGCCCACACCACCGCGGUGGCCGAUGACCCGCCCUAGGGUUCUGGGUGUGGGCGACUUUGCCGAGACGGCCCGGCCGGGCCGAGAUCCAAGUCGCACGCGUAGAUGCCAGAGUGUAUGGCCGUCGUGAGGGCGGCAGGGAAGGGAGUUGGGACGGCCACGGCGGUGCGACCGUGGGAUCGGGGUGAGGUCAUGCCUGGAGGCGCCGAGGUUAGGCGGUCGUGGGGCGAGGUAAUGGCGGCGUGGUUUCCAUGCCCAUGCACGCACGUACGGCGUCAUAGACGUGGUCACGCCAUAGUGGGCCUAUUGGCCCGUCCCGUAAAACUUCCGCCGGCUGGCCCAUGAUGCAUUUAUUGAAAACAAAUAAAUGCAUUUUACUUUAACAUCUCUAGUUUAAUACCACAUCGCUAAGCCGGCGCGCCGUUGACUCCUUUAUAUACUUUUGUUUUUUGACAUGAACAAACAUCUGUGUUUCUGGGACUCUAUUUGGAGGAUAUGCAGGAUCGAUGUGAGACUUCACCUGCUCAGAGCUUGUGAAGGUUCACAAGGAUCAUGCAUAUUCUUCAAAAAGAGAGCCAUUAUCUCCAAUGUUUUUUUAACGACAGAAAAUAUUAAUGCGUUUUUUUGCUGAUAGAAAAUAUUAAUGCGUUUUUUCUAACUCAACCAUUCAAAUUUUUCGACACCGUACGAAUUUCUUAGGGUUUUCCCCGUGAAACACACCGAAAACACUGACCGGGCGUGACGCAACGUGCGUUUGGUGCCAGAAUUCGUUCUAAUCUUGCAUGGGGUCCUACGAUGGGCAUGCCCACUUCCUGCCAAAAUUGGGUGACAUUUCAUGCAUGCCACCUCGUACCACCUAUGCAACCAGCACUGAUCGGAUAUGAAGGAGGUCAGCUCCGUAGUGCAUUCUCUUUUCUGACUCAGCCGGCGGACCCCAAACUUUUUGCACACGCCCGCAUCACCAGGGCCAUCAUGCAUCAUGCGUGCAAGUUUUCAUAAUUUUUCGACACCGUACGAAUUUCUUAAAGUUUUCCCAUUGAAACGCACCGAAAACACUGACCGGGCGUGACGCAACGUGCGUUUGGUGCCCGAAUUCGUUCUAAUCUUGCGUGGGAUCCUAUGAUGGGCAUGCCCACUGCCUGCCAAAAUUGAGGGACAUUUCAUACAUGCCACCUCGUACCACCUAUGCAGCCAGCACUGAUCAGAUAUGAAGGAGGUCAGCUCCGUAGUGCGUUUUCUUUUCUGACUCAGCCGGUGGACCCCAAACUUUUUGCACACGCCCGCAUCUCCAGGGCCAUCAUGCGUGCAAGUUUUCAUAAUUUUUCGACACCGUAUGAAUUUCAUAGGGUUUUCGGAAUAAUUAUUAAACAUUUCAUAAAUUAUUAGUUAUAACAAAAAACUCAUUUUUUUAAUAAACUGAAAUAUGUUAGUUCUUACUUAUAAAUUAUAAAAAAACUCAUUAUUAUUUUUGACACAAAUAACAAUAGUAAAGUUGCCAUAUGUAUAAUUUAAAUACUAAAUAAAUUCUUGAUUAAAUAUUUUUUUAAUUAUGGAACAUUUUUUAACUAAUAAAUUAAAUAAUCAACAUUACAUAAAUAUGAAAAAUAGAAUUACUAAUAUAAUAUAACUACUUCAUAAAUUCUAUAUUAAGUAGUGUUUUUCAAUAAUUGUGAAACAUUUAUUAAACGAUAACGAAAGGCAUAAGUAACUAAAAAACUUAAGACUAUUUUUGACACAAAAAACUAAAAAAAAGUCCACGACGGCGCGCGUUGGCCGCCCAAUGAGGUGCGCCACAACGCGCGUGGGCCGGCCCAUUGACUGUGCCGAUGGUGCGGGGGCAGGGUCGGCGGGGGUCAGGACUAAAGUUUAGUCCCACCUCGCCCGCCGAACGACGCCGCGACCCCCUUAUAUACCUGCCUCCCACAACCCUUUCGAACUCAUUUGAAUCUCGCCUCGUCCCGCCACUGCCCCGUUGUGACCGUCCUGCAGGCCGUAGCUGGGCCGAAAGGCUGGCCCUUUCGCCGCCCGGCUUGAUCGGGCCGGACCGAUUAUGCACAGUUGCGGCCUGCAAGGAUGGUUGGGCCAUUUUUUUGCCUCACUUUUUUUGUCUCCUAUGAGUCACGGCGCAGGGGGAGGUGGGAGGGGCGCUUGUUUAGUCCCACCUCGCGCGCCGAGAGAUGCCACGACCGGCUUAUAUAUCCGCGUUUGUGCUCUUUGUUAGAUAAAAUAGCUAAUACUAAUGAGAUUUGACGUUACAUAACUACCCGGGCAACACAACACUGCUGCCCGGGUAGUUGUGUAAAGUCAAAUCACUUUAUUAACUAGCUAUCUUAUUUUUUUAUCAUUUUGUCACUCCGUGCACUUUUUAUCAAAUAAUAUUCUAUAUUCAAUACUGUUUCUUUAUAAUUAUGGAACAUUUUUUAAACGAUAACAAAAUGCAUAUAACACUACUAAACUUUGCACAUAACAGUACUAAACUUUGCAUAUAUGUACAAUUAUUAAGGGUGUUUUCCAAAUUAUUAGUUAUAGCAAAAAACUCAUUAUUAUUAUGGAAUUUUUUAUCCAUUAGUGAAGAAGACAUAAAAAUUUAAAUAAUGAACAUUACAUAAAUAUUAAAAAUCUAAUUAAUAAUUCUAUUUUAAGUAGUGCUUUUUAGCCAUUAAUGAACAUUCAUAAAUAUUAAAAAUGUAAUUAAUAAUCUACACAAAUAACUGAAAAAAAUAUUUGCAGGACGGCGCGCGUUGCCGGCCCAGUUACGGUGCGAGACGGCGCGUGUGGGCCGGCCCAUUGACGCUGUGGUGGUGCGGGGGCAGGGUCGGCGGGGGUCAGGACUAAAGUUUAGUCCCACCUCGCCUGCCGAACGACGCUGCGACCACCUUAUAUACCUGCCUCCCACAACCCUUUCGAACUCAUUUGAAUCUCGCAUUGUCCCGCCACUGCCCUGUUGUGACUGUCCUGCAGGCCGUAGCUGGGCCGAAAGGCCGGCCCUUUCGCCGGCUGGCUUGAUCGGGCCGGACCGAUUACGUGCAGUUGUGGCCUGUAAGAAUGGUUGGGCCUUUUUUUGCCUCACUUUUUUUUGCCUCCUAUGAGUCACGGCGCGGGGGAGGUGGGAGGGGCGCUUGUUUAGUCCCACCUCGCGCGCCGAGGGACGUCACGACCGGCUUAUAUAGCUGCGUUCGUGCACUUUGCUACAUGAGAUAGUUAGUAAUAAUUUGAUUUGACUUUGCACUGCCAGGGGCAGCACUGCCGUACUGCCCGGGCAGUGUAAGCUCAUUACACUAUCCAGGCAGUGCGUCAGAGCUGCCAGUUGCAGUGUAAACUCAAAUCACAUCAUUAUUAUUUGUCUUAUUUUUAUCGUUUGCCACACUACAGAAAUUUUGUCUCACCCCGUCCGAAAGAAGUUUUUUUUGACAUUCUUCAAAUGAACCCAAAUAUUUUUCAUAGUGUUGUACCAUCAUGACUAGUAUGCAUGACAAGUUUCGUUGCUUUUUGCCACUUUAUGAAUUUACAACAAUUUUUCGGUGAAAACACCUAAAACACUGACCGGCCGUGACGCAAUGUGCUUUUGUUGUCGAAAUACGAUCAAUUUUUGGAUUCAGUGUGGGAGUGGGCAUACCAAACUCACUUGCAAAAUUUCAGGCAAUUCUGAAGAUGGCAAAAAAUUGAACUCGUUCUCCGGAGACCCUUCAGGUAGCAGCAAAGGCCCCAUCCGAAAAGGUUUUUUUUCGAAUCAUGACUAGGAUGCAUGACAAGUUUCAUGGCCUUUUGCCACUUUAUGUUUUUUCUAUAAUUUUUUCGGUGAAAACACCUAAAACACUGACCGGACGUGACGCAACGUGCUUUUGCUGUUGAAAUACGAUCAAUUUUUGGAUUCAGUGUGGGAGUGGGCAUACCAACUCACUUGCAAAAUUUGUGGUCAUUCCGAAUAUGUCAAAAAAUUGACCUCGUUCUCCGGAGACCGUUCGGGUAGGAGCGAAGGCCCCGUCCGAAAUAAGUUUUUUUCGACAUCCUUCAAAUGAACCCAAUUUUUUUUCAUAGUGUUGUACCAUCAUGACUAGUAUGCAUGACAAGUUUCGUGGUUUUUUGCAACUUUAUGAAUUUUCUAUAUUUUUCUCGGUGAAAACACCUAAAACACUGACCUGACGUGACACAACAUGCUUUUGGUGUCGAAAUACGAUCAAUUUUUGGAUUCAGUGUGGGAGUGGGCAUACCAACUCACUUGCAAAAUUUGAGUUCAUUCCGAAUAUGUCAAAAAAUUGACCUCAUUAUUCGGAGACCGUUCGGGUAGAGGAGCGAAGGCCCCGUCCGAAAAGGCGUUUUUUUCGACAUCCUUCAAAUGAACCCAAUUUUUUUUCAUAGUGUUCUACCAUCAUUACUAGGAUGCCUGACAAGUUUCGUGGUUUUUUGCCACUUUAUGAAUUUUCUACAAUUUUUCAGUGAAAACACCUAAAACACUGACCGGACGUGACGCAACGUGCUUUUGGUGCCGAAAUACGAUCAAUUUUUGGAUUCAGUGGGAGUGGGCAUACCAACUCAUUUGCAAAAUUUCAGGCCAUUCUGAAGAUGGCAAAAAAUUGACCUCGUUCUCCGGAGACCGUUCGGGUAGGAGUGAAGAACCCGUCCAAAAAGGAAUUUUUUCGACAUCCUUCAAANNNNNNNNNNNNNNNNNNNNNNNNNNNNNNNNNNNNNNNNNNNNNNNNNNNNNNNNNNNNNNNNNNNNNNNNNNNNNNNNNNNNNNNNNNNNNNNNNNNNNNNNNNNNNNNNNNNNNNNNNNNNNNNNNNNNNNNNNNNNNNNNNNNNNNNNNNNNNNNNNNNNNNNNNNNNNNNNNNCAUGACUAGGAUGCAUGACAAGUUUCGUGGCUUUUUGCCACUUUAUGAAUUUUGUACAGCUUUUUCGGUGAAAACACCUAAAACACUGACCGGACGUGACACAACGUGCUUUUGGUGUCGAAAUACGAUCAAUUUUUGGAUUCAGUGUGGGAGUGGGCAUACCAACUCACUUGCAAAAUUUGAGGUCAUUUCGAAUAUGUCAAAAAAUUGACCUCGUUCUCCGGAGACCGUUCGGGUAGGAGCGAAGGCCCCGUCCGAAAAUGCGUUUUUUUCGACAUCCUUCAAAUGAACCCAAUUUUUUUUGAUAGUGUUCUACCAUCAUGACUAGGAUGCAUGAAAAGUUUCGUGGCUUUUUGCAGUCAAGACAUUUUGUACGAUUUUCACGGAGAAAACACAGUAAACUACUCUUCGGAGAUGCCGCAACAUGUGUUUGGUGUGGGAAUACGUUCAAUUUUUAGUUGAGUGUUGGGGUGGGCAUAUCAACUCGUUUGCAAACAUUGAGGUCAUUCUGAAGGUCGUUUUUUAAUGUAUAUACACAUAAUUUAUAAAGUAUAAAUAAAGGUACAUAUGUAUAAACAAUUGUGAGGUUUUUUAUAAUGUAUAAAUAAACACAUUAGUAAAACAUAUUUUCUGAAUAUUAAUUAAAAAACAAAAUACAAUAUAAAUGACACGGGGCGUCUGUCCGGUCAGUUUUUUGUUUAUUUUGCGUCUUUCCGUUUAUUCUUUCACAAUUUUAGGGUUCAAUAUUUUAACAAUUUUCAUAAUGUUCGAAUACCACGACAAUUCAUUACAUCAUCAAAUGAAACAUACCAAUUUUUUUAGAUAAACCGACCCGACUUCAUUCAUAAUUGAAGAUAGACUUAAACCAAUCCGACUACAUAACUUAGAAUCGAAUUUAAAUUUAAACAUAAACUUAAAUUAAACAUUAACUUAAACCUAAACCUAACCUAGACAACUCCUCGUCGCCGCCGCCGGUGAGAUCGAUGACCGGCGCCAUGCCGCCGUCGCCGUCGUCGCCACUGAAGUCGUCGUCCGACGCCCACAAGUCCGCCUCCUCCCGCGCCUGCUGCAACUGCACUGCCGCCAAGGCCGCCUCGUCUGCCGACUGGGCCAGCACCGUAAGCAGCCCCGGCGGGUCGUCGGGGUCGCCGUCCUGCAUGAGGGCGGCCUGCUCCGGCGGGACGGGGACCAGCGCCGGGGCAGGGGGCGGCUGGUGUGCCGGGGCCCGUGGGGCGGGAGCAGGUGCGGCGUGGCGGCGGCUAGACCCGACCUCGGCGGUGAUGUCUCCGACGGGGCGGCCGGCCGCCACGUCCCUGAACGCGCCGAGGACGACGUCGAAAUCUUUGCCGCGCCAGAAGCCAUGGCGGGCCCUUCUGUUGUAACUGCCGCCAGGGAAGGCGCGGAGGUCCGCUGUCGUCGGCGGCGGGCCAAGUGUGGGUCUGCCGUCGGCGCCGAUCCUCCAUGGCCCCGGCACCUUGGUCACCGGCGGCACCAUCAGGCCGAACCGCGCGAGGUCCUCGGUGUGGCCGAUCGUGAGGCUGGACGGCCAGGCGCCGCCCGGCCAAGCCCCCUCGUCGGAGUCGCUCGAAGACAUGGCGGGCGCGGUGGAGUGGAGAAGAUGGAGUGGCGCGGUGGAGUGGAGAAGAUGGGGUGGAGAAGGCCGACACGGGUUGGCCUUUUAUAGCCGGCGGGGAGAGGGAGGCGUCGGUGGAGCGUCGGUGGGAGGCGGGCGGCCCGACGCGUGGGCAUGCGGCCGCGGCAGGCCCGAGGCGGAAGGCGGGCGGCAGUCGGCUGGUCGCCGCAGGCGCGGCAGCGGAGGCACGACAGAGGAGGCCAUCAGGCGGGCGCCCCGACGCGGCGGCGGGCGGCAGGCGGCCGGUUGUGGAAGGCGAGUGCAGGUGCGGCAGAGGCGACUGGUCAACGGCCGUCGGUGGCGCUUGGCGCGAGGAGGCGGUGCCGGCAUGAAUGCCAGAUUUAAUGCGGACAUGCAGUUAGUGCCCCAUGACAGACGCACCACGUCCACACGCACGCGCCACGCCCACGCCCACACGCACGCCCCACUGCCCGGUCAACGCCGUCUUAGAAUAAACCCUUGACCCGAUAUUGUGGGCCCAUGCCAUUGACCCCGACAUUGUGGGCCCACGCGUGCGGCUCGACUCGUUGGCUGUCGGCGGCUGCGCGGCGCGGCUCGCUCGGCAGCCCCAUAUACGCGGGCGCACGAGGGUAUCGGCGUCGACACGUGUGGGCAGUUUUUUUAUAUAAGACGAUCGUGCCCCUGGCCGCGAAGGGGUAUGGGCUAAUCUCAGUCUACACAACAGUGCAAGACUCCUGUAGGUUCAGCCCACUUCAGAGAAAUAUUAUCUAACUAAUUAAAUGCCCCUUCAAAUGCACAGCCAGGCGCCUAGAAGCUUCUUAUCAAAUAAUGUAAUUAAUUAGUGUGUGAAUCUUCUUUUAUAUGUAAACAAUGCUUUUACUACGUGAGUCCUCUUGAUUUGUUGGCCAGAGACUAAUAGAAAGAAGCAAACCUAUUCUUAACUUUUUCCUCUACCAAUCUAUUAUGAAGUUCUUAUAUACAAUGAAAAAAAUUCUUCUUGGUUGGUACUGAGUGUUGACAAGAAGGGAAAGGUGCAGGUAAGCUAAUAGGCCUUUCCGUACGGAAAAUACACUUUGGUUCCUGGUUGUAUAUGCAUCUUAUAUGGGGAUUUUUUUAAAUAUUUUAAUAAAAAGUCAAAAUAGGUAAGAACUAUUUUGACAAAACACUUGACUUACUUUUGCACUGAUAUAUAAAUCUCGACGAAAAAAAAACA
RNAcentral lists this long non-coding RNA (28856 nucleotides) under Triticum aestivum (bread wheat). RNAcentral describes it as "long non-coding RNA (TAES_LNC000565)". Lineage: Eukaryota; Viridiplantae; Streptophyta; Magnoliopsida; Poales; Poaceae. The record is from RNAcentral.